This 277-nucleotide ribosomal RNA is filed under the name uncultured bacterium. RNAcentral's name for it is "partial 16S ribosomal RNA". It matches the Rfam family "Bacterial small subunit ribosomal RNA", at positions 334 to 607 of the family's 1533-position model. The record is from RNAcentral.
UGGUCCUACGGGAGGCAGCAGUGAGGAAUAUUGGUCAAUGGGCGGAAGCCUGAACCAGCCAAGUUGCGUGAGGGAAUAAGGCCCUACGGGUCGUAAACCUCUUUUGCCGGGGAGCAAGGGCGGGGACGUGUCCCGGCCCGGAGAGUACCCGGAGAAAAAGCAUCGGCUAACUCCGUGCCAGCAGCCGCGGUAAUACGGAGGAUGCGAGCGUUAUCCGGAUUUAGUGGGAUUAAAGGGUGCGUAGGCGGGGUUGUAAGUCAGCGGUAGAAAUUCGGGG